RNAcentral lists this ribosomal RNA (407 nucleotides) under uncultured bacterium. RNAcentral describes it as "partial 16S ribosomal RNA". It matches the Rfam family "Bacterial small subunit ribosomal RNA", at positions 30 to 526 of the family's 1533-position model. The record is from RNAcentral.
AUUGAACGCUGGCGGCAGGCAUAACACAUGCAAGUCGAGCGGAACGGCGGACGGGAGAGUAAUGCCUAGGCAUAUGCAUGGUAGUGGGGGAUAACGUACGGAAAAGGGCGCUACUACCGCAUCCUAUCAGAUGAGCCUAGGUCGGAUUAGGUAGUGGGUGGGGUAAAGGCCUACCAAGGCGACGGUCCGUAACUGGCCUGAGAGGAUGAUCAGUCACACUGGAACUGAGACACGGUCCAGACUCCUACGGGAGGCAGCAGUGGGGAAUAUUGGACAAUGGGCGAAAGCCUGAUCCAGCCAGGCCGCGUGGUUGAAGAAGGUCUUCGGAUUGUAAAGUACUUUCAGUCGGGAGGCGUUACCGACAGAAGAAGCACCGGCUAACUGCGUGCCAGCAGCCGCGGUAAUUC